RNAcentral lists this ribosomal RNA (497 nucleotides) under uncultured bacterium. RNAcentral's name for it is "partial 16S ribosomal RNA". It matches the Rfam family "Bacterial small subunit ribosomal RNA", at positions 28 to 507 of the family's 1533-position model. The record is from RNAcentral.
GAUGAACGCUGGCGGCGUGCCUAAUACAUGCAAGUCGAGCGAACAGACGAGGAGCUUGCUCCUCUGACGUUAGCGGCGGACGGGUGAGUAACACGUGGAUAACCUACCUAUAAGACUGGGAUAACUUCGGGAAACCGGAGCUAAUACCGGGUAAUAUAUUGAACCGCAUGGUUCAAUAGUGAAAGACGGUUUUGCUGCCACUUAUAGAUGGAUCCGCGCCGCAUUAGCUAGUUGGUAAGGUAACGGCUUACCAAGGCAACGAUGCGUAGCCGACCUGAGAGGGUGAUCGGCCACACUGGAACUGAGACACGGUCCAGACUCCUACGGGAGGCAGCAGUAGGGAAUCUUCCGCAAUGGGCGAAAGCCUGACGGAGCAACGCCGCGUGAGUGAUGAAGGUCUUCGGAUCGUAAAACUCUGUUAUUAGGGAAGAACAAAUGUGUAAGUAACUAUGCACGUCUUGACGGUACCUAAUCAGAAAGCCACGGCUAACUACGUG